RNAcentral lists this ribosomal RNA (503 nucleotides) under uncultured bacterium. RNAcentral describes it as "partial 16S ribosomal RNA". It matches the Rfam family "Bacterial small subunit ribosomal RNA", at positions 30 to 523 of the family's 1533-position model. The record is from RNAcentral.
AUUGAACGCUGGCGGCAGGCUUAACACAUGCAAGUCGAGCGGGGUGAUGGUGCUUGCACUAUCACUUAGCGGCGGACGGGUGAGUAAUGCUUAGGAAUCUGCCUAUUAGUGGGGGACAACAUCUCGAAAGGGAUGCUAAUACCGCAUACGUCCUACGGGAGAAAGCAGGGGAUCACUUGUGACCUUGCGCUAAUAGAUGAGCCUAAGUCGGAUUAGCUAGUUGGUGGGGUAAAGGCCUACCAAGGCGACGAUCUGUAGCGGGUCUGGGAGGAUGAUCCGCCACACUGGGAGUGAGACACGGCCCAGACUCCUAAGGGAGGCAGCAGUGGGGAAUAUUGGACAAUGGGGGGAACCCUCAUCCAGCCAUGCCGCGUGUGUGAAGAAGGCCUUAUGGUUGUAAAGCACUUUAAGCGAGGAGGAGGCUCUUUUGGUUAAUACCCAAGAUGAGUGGACGUUACUCGCAGAAUAAGCACCGGCUAACUCUGUGCCAGCCGCCGCCGUAA